RNAcentral lists this ribosomal RNA (654 nucleotides) under uncultured archaeon. RNAcentral's name for it is "bacterial SSU rRNA". It matches the Rfam family "Archaeal small subunit ribosomal RNA", at positions 508 to 1160 of the family's 1478-position model. The record is from RNAcentral.
GCCUAAAGCGUCCGUAGCCGGCUUUGUAAGUUUUCGGUUAAAUCUAUAUGCUCAACAUAUAGGCUGCCGGAAAUACUGUAAAGCUAGGGAGUGGGAGAGGUAGACGGUACUCCGUAGGAAGGGGUAAAAUCCUUUGAUCUAUGGAUGACCACCUGUGGCGAAGGCGGUCUACCAGAACACGUCCGACGGUGAGGGAUGAAAGCUGGGGGAGCAAACCGGAUUAGAUACCCGGGUAGUCCCAGCUGUAAACUAUGCAAACUCAGUGAUGCAUUGGCUUGUGGCCAGUACAGUGCCGCAGAGAAGUCGUUAAGUUUGCCGCCUGGGAAGUACGUACGCAAGUAUGAAACUUAAAGGAAUUGGCGGGGGAGCACCACAAGGGGUGAAGCCUGCGGUUCAAUUGGAGUCAACGCCAGAAAUCUUACCCGGAGAGACAGCAGGAUGAAGGUCAAGCUGAAGACUUUACCAGACAAGCUGAGAAGUGGUGCAUGGCCGUCGCCAGCUCGUGCCGUGAGGUGUCCUGUUAAGUCAGGUAACGAGCGAGAUCCUUGCCUCUAGUUGCCACCAUUACUCUCAGGAGUAGUGGGGCGAAUUAGCGGGACUGCCGUAGUUAAUACGGAGGAAGGAGAGGGCCACGGCAGGUCAGUAUGCCCCGAA